Long non-coding RNA from Artibeus jamaicensis (Jamaican fruit-eating bat), 716 nucleotides. RefSeq lists it as uncharacterized. The record is from RefSeq and is a predicted model, not a curated record. NCBI's taxonomy places the organism in Eukaryota, Metazoa, Chordata, Mammalia, Chiroptera, Phyllostomidae. The transcript has 4 exons.
UCUUAUCUCACCUCUGCCUGGCUCUCAAGAUGCAGUGGGCCCUGAAGCCUGCUAAUUAGAGAUGGCUGGGAAAAGUACCAGGGCCCUGGUCUGGCAGCUGUGCCUGGCUCUAAAUUCAAUAUCCAGUGCCCUUCGGGGUGAGGGCUCACCUUGAUAAGCCCCCAGGACAAAGCAGGGAGACAGACGGGGCUUGUUCUCAGCAGAGCCUUCGCCCUCUGAAUACGCUUUUUGUUUAAGCCCCAGGACCGACCGAGAACAUUCCAUGGCCUGGCGAACUCCCCGUCUUCCCAAGGACCGUCUUCCUGCUUCCCUUCCCUCCAAUGGUGCAGAUCGCAAGAGUACUCCCUGACCGAUGUCCCGGAUGGAACUCUUCAUCAUCUGGAGGAGUGCAGCCCCCCACCAUCUUUGUAGUGAUUCACGCAGCACAGAGGAAACAUCUACUAGGCAGUUCCAGCUUCCUAGUGAUUCCAAGGGGCUGCUUACAGGGAAGGACACGAGAGGAUGGCAGUCUGCGACCCAGAAGAGGGUUCCCAAAGAGCCCUGGCAAGCUGGCAUCCUGCUCCUGGACUUCCGGCCUCUGUAACUGUGGGAAAUCGACUGCAGCCCCCAGUCCACGCUGAGCUGUUACCGCCGCCUAAAUGAAGACAGCCUUUCUGUCUUCGUCCUACCACCGAAGGAGAAAUGUUCUCUGUAACCUAUGCUUUUGGAGUGAAAUA